This is a long non-coding RNA of Paramisgurnus dabryanus, 2449 nucleotides long. RefSeq lists it as uncharacterized. NCBI's taxonomy places the organism in Eukaryota, Metazoa, Chordata, Actinopteri, Cypriniformes, Cobitidae. The record is from RefSeq and is a predicted model, not a curated record.
GCAAUUGCUGUAAAUUAACAGCCAAUUUUCAACAGUAAAACACUGUUUUCAUGUUAAACAGUUUAGUACUGUAGUUAGCAAUGCAUUGUGGGCUGAUUAAAUUGGAGCAACAAGACAGAGGCCCUCAACAGUAAGUUGAUGUUUUAAAUUACAGGACAAUACAGUAUUUUCUCGAAAAUGCGUGUUGACUGGGGAAUUUGGAGCACGGUCAGAAGCUAAGCAAUGUUAGUCUUAUAAAUUGAAGCUAGCCUAUUACUUUUGGUCAAUUUUCUUUAAAAAAUACAGAUAUAAUUUGCCAUUAACUCCUGGAUGGAAUUUCGGGAACCAUUAUUUGGAUAGGAGAUUUUCCAGAAGAGGACGUACAAUUUAGAUGACGUGCUGCACAUCGUCAAGUGUUCUUCAUCAAAUUGAUCGGGUCUUGCAUCUACAAAUGAAACGGUAAUUCAAAUCUUAUUCAUAUUGCCAAGAAUGCUUGAUAUCAACUGAUAGAAGCUUAUCUUAUAGGGAUUUAAACGUGUCAUCUAACAGUGAGGCUUAGAUUUGAAUAGCCAUUAACAAUAUUACUUUUACUUCUGAAUUUGAGAAACAACACUUAUUAAAGAAUUUAUUUCAACCAAACCAUAGGAUUAUAUGAACAUCGACUAACCGAGAGGGUUUUUUUGAGUUUUAUUUUGUUUGUGUUGACUUUAUUGAAAAGUGUUUUACAAACAGUUAACAAGAAAAUAAAGCUAAUUGUAGCUCGGUUAAAGUUGAACUUUGCAUUUUUCUUUUUAAACGCCAAAUUGGUGUAAAAUAUUGUCUUUCUGGACUCUUUGUGAAUGCAAUGUGUGUACUAAUUUGUGAGAGUACUACUACAUAUGUAAAAAGAGAGGUGUAAAUUAUUUUGUGGUUUAAAGGAUGCUGCAUGUAAAUUGUUACCCUUUAAAUUUUGGAUGUCAAAUAUAUUUAGAAGUUUGAUUGUAGGUACUUCAGAAGCCUACCUCGUUCACCUCUUGGUUACAUUCCACCGAGUGUUUACUAGUUAUUGUCCUUUUUAUAAAUGUUCAUCUUAAAAAUAUUAUUAUGGUAAGGAUAAUGUAUUUGUUCCCUUCAGGUAUCUGCCACUGCAGUUGAUGUUGAGACAACUCUCAGUCUUCCUGCAAGUCCUCGCCUGAUACCUGUUUCAAGUGCUACAAGGCAAGUCACAAUUAAAGGUUGGAUGAUCACCUUUAAGGGCUGUGUAAUCUCUGAGGGCAUCACACCAACAUUUGCAAUUGGACUUGCUGCUAUGUUUGCAACCUACAACAUUUUAAGCCUUCAGUAUCAAGAUGAGACAGCCUGCCCUGUGGAAUUCAAAAUUAAUGUGUUUGUAUGUUAUGCAUAAAAUGGAAUUAGUACUGUACAUUUCAAGCCUCAACACUUACACACCUACACAUACACACACACACACGCACGCACGCAUGCACGCACGCACGCACGCACACACACACACACACACACACACACACACACAGGGUAUAGACUUUUUUAUAACUCCAUUUGAUGUCAUUAAAUCCACUCAAUUUGUGCAAUGAAGAAGACAAAAAACAAUUAAUUGCUUUUGAUUUCAGGCGCUUCAUUGAUAUAAAUCCAGAGAGAGGGACAAAUGCCAAAAUCAUCAAGCAAGGUUGUCUCUAAGAAGAAAGGUGUGAUGGUCCAGAAGUCGUCUUCUGCAGUCAUGUGGCCAUGCUACUGAAGAAUCUCCUUGACUUUUUAAUGGAACUUCAUAUAGAUCUUGGCAGCACUGGAAUAAUGCUGCAGAGAGGAACAGCGGCUAUCAAAGUGAUGAUCGUCUCUUCUGGAUCCACAAGAACUAAGAUGUAAAAACACAAACCUACCUCACAGGACAAUUUUAAGAGGUAACCUGCAAGUCUAGCUUGCAGUGGCACAGGUGCCUACCCUACGGUUUCAUCCUAAAUGUUUUUAUGCAUAUUAUUGAUACAUCCUGACAAAAUGUUCUACUGUACUAUAAUAGUUUCAAAAUGGCCUUAGGUAUGUUUUCAAACUUAUGUCUUAAAUAAAAAAGUAAACUAUAGGUUAUGCCCUUCACAUUUGGUAAGGAUUAGGGGCAGUCUUUGACGAGCAAUUUAAGAAUGUUAAGUUUAUUGCCAUAGUCUAAAGCAAGACACUACUGUUUCUGUUUACUUCUAGAAAGCUCUUUUCAGCAUUGUCCAACUGGAUUUAUUUUCUUUACUUUUUUUGUAGUCAUGUUGACAUAGACAUUGUUCUUUGAAAUAAAGGUGUUUGAUUUGGAAGUUUUUGUUGCUUAUUUUGCAUAAUAUUCACAAUAAUGCAUAUCUUAAGCAACUGUCUUUAGCCCUGGGAAUUCAUUGGCAAGUUCAUUGGGAGAUAUUUAUUUUAAAUAUCAAUGAAGAAUUUUUAGAAACUGCUAAAUUGAUGUUAUUUCUAAUACAGUAAAAAAUGCUGCAUA